This 468-nucleotide ribosomal RNA is filed under the name uncultured bacterium. RNAcentral's name for it is "partial 16S ribosomal RNA". It matches the Rfam family "Bacterial small subunit ribosomal RNA", at positions 28 to 507 of the family's 1533-position model. The record is from RNAcentral.
GACGAACGCUGGCGGCGUGCUUAACACAUGCAAGUCGAACGGAAAGGCCCUGCUUUUGUGGGGUGCUCGAGUGGCGAACGGGUGAGUAACACGUGAGUAACCUGCCCUUGACUUUGGGAUAACUUCAGGAAACUGGGGCUAAUACCGGAUAGGAGCUACUGCUGCAUGGUGGGGGUUGGAAAGUUUCGGCGGUUGGGGAUGGACUCGCGGCGUAUCAGCUUGUUGGUGGGGUAGUGGCUUACCAAGGCUUUGACGGGUAGCCGGCCUGAGAGGGUGACCAGCCACAUUGGGACUGAGAUACGGCACAGACUCCUACGGGACGCAGCAGUGGAGAAUAUUGCAGAGUGGGCGGAAGCCUGGUGUAGCAACGCCGCGUGCGGGAAGACGUCCUUCGGGUUGGAAACCGAUGUCGCCUGUGACGAGGCGUGAGUGACGGUAACGGGUAAAUAAGCACCGGCUAACUACGUG